RNAcentral lists this ribosomal RNA (499 nucleotides) under uncultured Glomeromycotina. RNAcentral describes it as "partial small subunit ribosomal RNA". It matches the Rfam family "Eukaryotic small subunit ribosomal RNA", at positions 591 to 1092 of the family's 1831-position model. The record is from RNAcentral. Lineage: Eukaryota; Fungi; Glomeromycota.
CCAAUAGCGUAUAUUAAAGUUGUUGCAGUUAAAAAGCUCGUAGUUGAAUUUCGGGACCAAUAUGUCGGUCGUGCUUCGGUACGUACUUGCCUUAUUGGUUUCUCCCUUCUGAAGAACCAUGAUGUCAUUAAUUUGGUGUCUUGGGGAAUCAGGAAUGUUACUUUGAAAAAAUUAGAGUGUUUAAAGCAGGCUCACGCUUGAAUACAUUAGCAUGGAAUAAUGAAAUAGGACGUUUGAUUCUAUUUUGUUGGUUUCUAGGAUCGACGUAAUGAUUAAUAGGGAUAGUUGGGGGCAUUAGUAUUCAAUUGUCAGAGGUGAAAUUCUUGGAUUUAUUGAAGACUAACUACUGCGAAAGCAUUUGCCAAGGAUGUUUUCAUUAAUCAAGAACGAAAGUUAGGGGAUCGAAGACGAUCAGAUACCGUCGUAGUCUUAACCAUAAACUAUGCCGACUAGGGAUCGGAUGAUGUUAAUUUUUUAAUGACUCAUUCGGCGCCUUACG